Molecule: ribosomal RNA, 492 nt
Filed under: uncultured bacterium
Lineage: Bacteria
Description: partial 16S ribosomal RNA
Rfam family: Bacterial small subunit ribosomal RNA
Source: RNAcentral
AGUGAACGCUGGCGGUAGGCCUAACACAUGCAAGUCGAACGGCAGCACAGUAAGAGCUUGCUCUUACGGGUGGCGAGUGGCGGACGGGUGAGGAAUACAUCGGAAUCUACUUUUUCGUGGGGGAUAACGUAGGGAAACUUACGCUACUACCGCAUACGACCUACGGGUGAAAGCAGGGGAUCUUCGGACCUUGCGCGAUUGAAUGAGCCGAUGUCGGAUUAGCUAGUUGGCGGGGUAAAGGCCCACCAAGGCGACGAUCCGUAGCUGGUCUGAGAGGAUGAUCAGCCACACUGGAACUGAGACACGGUCCAGACUCCUACGGGAGGCAGCAGUGGGGAAUAUUGGACAAUGGGCGCAAGCCUGACCCAGCCAUACCGCGUGGGUGAAGAAGGCCUUCGGGUUGUAAAGCCCUUUUGUUGGGAAAGAAAAGCAGCAGGUUAAUACCCCGCUGUUCUGACGGUACCCAAAGAAUAAGCACCGGCUAACUUCGUG